Non-coding RNA from Schistosoma rodhaini, 45 nucleotides. Lineage: Eukaryota; Metazoa; Platyhelminthes; Trematoda; Strigeidida; Schistosomatidae. The record is from Rfam.
AUUCAGCUGACGAGUCUCAAAUAGGCCGAAACAUGCGUCCUGGAU